UAAUAAUCCGUGCUUCAAAGGGCUGGAGUAAAAAUCAAAUGAAGAUGGAUAGAGAGGAGCAUUUUCUGAACACCAGCGAUGUACAACCUCUGCUUGUGUGAAUGUUUAUGCAUAAUUUUUUUCCUGCCAUUUUCAUGCUGAAAGUGCAGGCAAAUUAUUAGACAAGAGGAAAGAAAUAAACGUGAGCAGGGCUUCUUGCACUUCCUGGAGACCAGGCUGAGACUUGCCGCCAGCACCCUGGAACCAGCUUCUUUGUGGUGGGCUCCAUCUGUCACCAGUGUGUCCUCCCAGACCCUCCCCUCCACCAACCAUUCAUUUGCAUAGGCGCCGUUGCUGUUGGGGAAGAUGAGAGAAAAGGACUUAAAGCUUCACCGUGAAGCAGAAUCCUCC
Molecule: long non-coding RNA, 390 nt
Filed under: Fukomys damarensis (Damara mole-rat)
Lineage: Eukaryota; Metazoa; Chordata; Mammalia; Rodentia; Bathyergidae
Description: lncRNA (ENSFDAG00000024469.1)
Source: RNAcentral